This 986-nucleotide ribosomal RNA is filed under the name uncultured bacterium. RNAcentral describes it as "bacterial SSU rRNA". It matches the Rfam family "Bacterial small subunit ribosomal RNA", at positions 78 to 1060 of the family's 1533-position model. The record is from RNAcentral.
CUUCGGGAGCCGACGAGUGGCGGACGGGUGAGUAACGCGUAGGAAUCUGCCUGAUAGAGGGGGACAACGUGGGGAAACUCACGCUAAUACCGCAUACUCCCUACGGGGGAAAGCGGGGGACCUUCGGGCCUCGCGCUAUCAGAUGAGCCUGCGUUAGAUUAGCUAGUUGGUGGGGUAAAGGCCUACCAAGGCGACGAUCUAUAGCUGGUCUGAGAGGACGAUCAGCCACACUGGGACUGAGACACGGCCCAGACUCCUACGGGAGGCAGCAGUGGGGAAUAUUGGACAAUGGGGGCAACCCUGAUCCAGCAAUACCGCGUGUGUGAAGAAGGCCUGAGGGUUGUAAAGCACUUUCAAGUGGGAGGAAAAAGCCUGGGCGAACAGUCUAGGUGUUGACAUUACCACUAGAAGAAGCACCGGCUAACUCCGUGCCAGCAGCCGCGGUAAUACGGAGGGUGCGAGCGUUAAUCGGAAUUACUGGGCGUAAAGCGUGCGUAGGCGGUGAUUUAAGUCAGAUGUGAAAGCCCCGGGCUUAACCUGGGAACGGCAUUUGAUACUGGAUGACUAGAGUUUAGGAGAGGGGAGUGGAAUUUCCGGUGUAGCGGUGAAAUGCGUAGAGAUCGGAAGGAACACCAGUGGCGAAGGCGGCUCUCUGGCCUAAAACUGACGCUGAGGUACGAAAGCGUGGGUAGCAAACAGGAUUAGAUACCCUGGUAGUCCACGCCGUAAACGAUGUCAACUAGCCGUUGGGUCUUAUUAUGAGGCUUAGUGGUGCAGCUAACGCAAUAAGUUGACCGCCUGAGGAGUACGGCCGCAAGGUUAAAACUCAAAUGAAUUGACGGGGGCCCGCACAAGCGGUGGAGCAUGUGGUUUAAUUCGAUGCAACGCGAAGAACCUUACCUACCCUUGACAUCCAGAGAAUCUGUGAGAGAUCGUAGAGUGCCUUCGGGAGCUCUGAGACAGGUGCUGCAUGGCUGUCGUCAGCU